This 166-nucleotide ribosomal RNA is filed under the name Bikinia evrardii. Its description in RNAcentral is "5.8S ribosomal RNA". It matches the Rfam family "5.8S ribosomal RNA". Rfam says of the family: 5.8S ribosomal RNA (5.8S rRNA) is a component of the large subunit of the eukaryotic ribosome. It is transcribed by RNA polymerase I as part of the 45S precursor that also contains 18S and 28S rRNA. The record is from RNAcentral. Lineage: Eukaryota; Viridiplantae; Streptophyta; Magnoliopsida; Fabales; Fabaceae.
AAUGACUCUCGGCAACGGAUAUCUCGGCUCUCGCAUCGAUGAAGACGUAGCGAAUGCGAUACUUGGUGUGAAUUGCAGAAUCCCGUGAACCAUCGAGUCUUUGAACGCAAGUUGCACCCGAAAGCCGUCAACGCCGAGGACACGUCUGGCUGGGUGUCACGCAACG